RNAcentral lists this ribosomal RNA (2952 nucleotides) under Bacteroidota bacterium. RNAcentral describes it as "Bacteroidetes bacterium 23S ribosomal RNA". It matches the Rfam family "Bacterial large subunit ribosomal RNA". The record is from RNAcentral. Lineage: Bacteria; Pseudomonadati; Bacteroidota.
GUUUAAGCAAAGAAGGGCGCAUGGUGGAUGCCUUGGCACGGGCAGGCGAUGAAGGACGUGAUAAGCUGCGAUAAGCUACGGGGAGUUGCAAAUAAGCAUGGAUCCGUGGAUUUCCGAAUGGGGCAACCCGGCACUCGCAAGAGUGUCAUCCUUGGGCUGAAUACAUAGGCUCUUGGAAGCAAACCCGGGGAACUGAAACAUCUAAGUACCCGGAGGAAGAGAAAACAACAGUGAUUCCCCAAGUAGUGGCGAGCGAACGGGGAACAGCCUAAACCGGUGUGGUCUCGGCUACAUCGGGGUCGUAGGGCUUGCAAUAUGGAUCACGCGUCGAAGUGGAAGCUUUCUGGAAAGUGGCACCAUAGAAGGUGAUAGUCCUGUACGCGUAAGACAACUGAUCCUAGCGAUGUCCCUGAGUACCACGGGGUCGGAGAAGCCUUGUGGGAAGCUACCAGCACCAUCUGGUAAGGCUAAAUACUAGUCCGUGACCGAUAGUGAACCAGUACCGUGAGGGAAAGGUGAAAAGAACGCCUAGUCGGCGAGUGAAAUAGUACCUGAAACCAUGCGCCUACAACCAGUCGGAGCCUGUAUUUCCGCGCUUAUGCGCAGAUUGAACGGGUGACGGCGUGCCUUUUGCAUAAUGAGCCUACGAGUUACACCUCACUGGCAAGGUUAAAUGCCUCAGGCAUGGAGCCGUAGCGAAAGCGAGUCUGAACAGGGCGUCAUAGUCAGUGGGGGUAGACGCGAAACCGAGUGAGCUACCUAUGGGCAGGGUGAAGCGUGGGUAAGACCACGUGGAGGCCCGAACCGCAGUACGUUGAAAAGUGCCCGGAUGACCUGUGGGUAGGGGUGAAAGGCCUAUCAAACUCGGAAAUAGCUCGUACUCCCCGAAAUGUAUUUAGGUACAGCGUCGCAACAGUGUAUCGGAGGUAGAGCACUGAUUGGGCUAGGGCCCUUCACCGGGUACCAACCCCAGACAAACUCCGAAUGCCGAUACUACGUUUUGUGGCAGUGAGGGCAUGGGUGCCAAGGUCCAUGUCCGAGAGGGGAACAACCCAGACCGACAGCUAAGGUCCCCAAGUUCAGUCUAAGUUGAUCAAAGGAGGUCGGAUUGCUGAAACAACCAGGAUGUUGGCUUGGAAGCAGCCAUUCAUUUAAAGAGUGCGUAACAGCUCACUGGUCGAGCGAUCUGGCAUCGAAAAUUUGCGGGCAUUAAGACUGGCACCGAAGCUCCGGGUUUCCAAUGGGAAGCGGUAGGGGAGCAUUCCAGCGACGACGAAGCAGCCUCGUGAGAUGCUGUGAAGUUUCUGGAAAAGAAAAUGUAGGCAUGAGUAACGAUAAGACAGGUGAGAAACCUGUCCGCCGUAAGCCUUAGGGUUCCUGUUCAACGUUAAUCGGAACAGGGUUAGUCGGGUCCUAAGCCGAGGCCGAAAGGCGUAGGCGAUGGAAAACGGGUCAAUAUUCCCGUACCACCAGAAAGCGAUAAUGUAAGGCGUGACGCAGAAGCGUAAGGUCCGCGCACAGACGGAUGUGCGUUGAAGUGCGUAGGCUGGACGAGUAGGUAAAUCCGCUUGUCCGUUAAGGCUGAACCACGACAGUAGCGGGAGUCUCCGGACAAACGCAUAGAGGCCCCAAGCAUGCUGCCAAGAAAAGCGUCGUACAUUGCCAAUGGUGCCCGUACCGUAAACCGACACAGGUAGGCGAGGAGAGCAUCCUCAGGCGCUCGAGUGAUCCGUGGCUAAGGAACUAGGCAAAAUUGCUCCGUAACUUCGGGAGAAGGAGCGCCUUCCCUUAUUAAAAGCGAGGGGAGGUCGCAGUGAAAAGACCCAAGCGACUGUUUAACAAAAACACAGCUCUCUGCUAAAUCGCAAGAUGAUGUAUAGGGAGUGACACCUGCCCGGUGCCGGAAGGUUAAGGAAGGGGGUUAGCUGCUUCGGCGGCGAAGCUCACGACUGAAGCCCCGGUAAACGGCGGCCGUAACUAUAACGGUCCUAAGGUAGCGAAAUUCCUUGUCGGGUAAGUUCCGACCUGCACGAAUGGUGCAACGACUUGGGUACUGUCUCGGCCACGGGCUCGGUGAAAUUGUGGUGCCGGUGAAGACGCCGGCUACCCGCGGUGGGACGGAAAGACCCCGUGCACCUUUACUGCAGCUUGAUAUUGACAUUGGUUAAAGUAUGUGUAGGAUAGGCGGGAGGCUACGAAGCUAGGGCGCCAGCCUUGGUGGAGCCACCCUUGAAAUACCGCCCUUGUUUUAAUCGGUGCCUAACCCGCGACCGUAGAUCCGGUUGGGGGACAGUGUCAGGUGGGUAGUUUGACUGGGGCGGUCGCCUCCUAAAAUGUAACGGAGGCUCUCAAAGGUACCUUCAGCAUGGUCGGCAAUCAUGCGUAGAGUGCAAAGGCACAAGGGUGCUUAACUGCGAGACAUACAGGUCGAGCAGGUGCGAAAGCAGGACUUAGUGAUCCGGCGGUUCCUUAUGGAUGGGCCGUCGCUCAAAGGAUAAAAGGUACGCCGGGGAUAACAGGCUAAUCUCCCCCAAGAGUUCACAUCGACGGGGAGGUUUGGCACCUCGAUGUCGGCUCGUCGCAUCCUGGGGCUGAAGAAGGUCCCAAGGGUUGGGCUGUUCGCCCAUUAAAGCGGCACGCGAGCUGGGUUCAGAACGUCGUGAGACAGUUCGGUCCCUAUCUACCGUGGGCGUUGGAGACUUGAGCGGAUCUGCUCCUAGUACGAGAGGACCGGAGUGGACGAACCGCUAGUGUACCUGUUGUGGCGCCAGCUGCAUCGCAGGGUAGCUAUGUUCGGCAGGGAUAAGCGCUGAAAGCAUCUAAGCACGAAGCCCACCGCAAGACUAGGUCUCCCUUAUGGGCCGUUCGAGACGAGGACGUUGAUAGGCGGCAGGUGUAAGCAUGGUAACAUGUUCAGCCGAGCCGUACUAAUUGCCCAUUAGGCUUUUUCCU